AGGUCGCCAUCGACCGUCAUCCUCCCUUUUCGAUCGAGCACGCCACUGACCGGAUUGAAGCCCUCCUUGAUCGUCGUCCACCCUCCAUGCCACCGCAUCGAUCGAAUCGCCCGUCUCUCUCUUGCUCUCUUGCUCCCUCGUCGGUCGAGUGCACCACCGAUCGUUGUCCUCUCUCCCCAAUCGAGUACGCCACUGAUCGGAUUGAAGCCCUCCACACCACCAUGC
RNAcentral lists this long non-coding RNA (225 nucleotides) under Elaeis guineensis (African oil palm). Its description in RNAcentral is "long non-coding RNA (EGUI_LNC059528)". The record is from RNAcentral. Lineage: Eukaryota; Viridiplantae; Streptophyta; Magnoliopsida; Arecales; Arecaceae.